This 664-nucleotide ribosomal RNA is filed under the name Borrelia miyamotoi. RNAcentral describes it as "bacterial SSU rRNA". It matches the Rfam family "Bacterial small subunit ribosomal RNA", at positions 396 to 1052 of the family's 1533-position model. Lineage: Bacteria; Pseudomonadati; Spirochaetota; Spirochaetia; Spirochaetales; Borreliaceae. The record is from RNAcentral.
GGCGGUGGAACCGGAAGAAGGUCGAAAGAUUGUAAAGUUCUUUUAUAAGUGAGGAAUAAGCUUUGUAGGAAAUGACAAAGCGAUGACGUUAAUUUAUGAAUAAGCCCCGGCUAAUUACGUGCCAGCAGCCGCGGUAAUACGUAAGGGGCGAGCGUUGUUCGGGAUCAUUGGGCGUAAAGGGUGAGUAGGCGGAUAUGCAAGUCUAUGUGUAAAAUACCACGGCUCAACUGUGGAACUAUGCUGGAAACUGCAUGACUAGAGUCUGAUAGGGGGAGUUAGAAUUCCUGGUGUAAGGGUGGAAUCUGUUGAUAUCAGGAAGAAUACCAGAGGCGAAGGCGAACUUCUAGGUCAAGACUGACGCUGAGUCACGAAAGCGUAGGGAGCAAACAGGAUUAGAUACCCUGGUAGUCUACGCUGUAAACGAUGCACACUUGGUGUUAAUCGAAAGGUUAGUACCGAAGCUAACGUGUUAAGUGUGCCGCCUGGGGAGUAUGUUCGCAAGAAUGAAACUCAAAGGAAUUGACGGGGGCCCGCACAAGCGGUGGAGCAUGUGGUUUAAUUCGAUGAUACGCGAGGAACCUUACCAGGGCUUGACAUAUACAGGAUAUAGUUAGAGAUAACUAUUCCCCGUUUGGGGUCUGUAUACAGGUGCUGCCAUGGUUAA